Molecule: non-coding RNA, 26 nt
Filed under: Rattus norvegicus (Norway rat)
Lineage: Eukaryota; Metazoa; Chordata; Mammalia; Rodentia; Muridae
Source: RNAcentral
UGAGAAGUUUCAGAGAGGUAGUGAAG